This 1384-nucleotide ribosomal RNA is filed under the name uncultured Planctomycetota bacterium. Its description in RNAcentral is "bacterial SSU rRNA". It matches the Rfam family "Bacterial small subunit ribosomal RNA", at positions 46 to 1397 of the family's 1533-position model. Lineage: Bacteria; Pseudomonadati; Planctomycetota. The record is from RNAcentral.
GGAUUAGGCAUGCAAGUCGAACGAGGAUAUAUCCUUCGGGGUAUAAGCCGAGUGGCGCAAGGGUGAGUAAUGCAUAGAUUACCUGCCUCUAGGAUAAGGACAACUUUGUGAAAACGAAGCUAAUACUUAAUAAUACAAAAGAAAAUAAUUUUCUUUUGUCGAUGGGAGGGUAGCAAUACCUUUUGCCUAGAGAGGGGUUUAUGUCCUAUCAGCUUGUUGGUGGGGUAAUGGCCUACCAAGGCGAAGACGGGUAGCCGGUCUUAGAGGAUGGUCGGCCACACUGGGACUGAGACACUGCCCAGACUUCUACGGAAGGCUGCAGUCGAGAAUCUUUCGCAAUGCCCGAAAGGGUGACGAAGCGACGCCGCGUGAGUGAGGAAGACCUUAGGGUUGUAAAGCUCUGUCAGGAGCUAAGAAAUAUAAGUGUGUUAAUACCACAUUUAUUUGACGAAGGCUCCAAAGGAAGCCACGGCUAACUCUGUGCCAGCAGCCGCGGUAAUACAGAGGUGGCAAGCGUUGUUCGGAAUUAUUGGGCGUAAAGAGCACGUAGGUGGGUUUGUAAGUCAGAUGUGAAAGCCUUCUGUUCAACGGAAGAAUUGCAUCUGAAACUGCAAAUCUUGAGUGUAGGAGGGGAGAAUGGAACUUCUGGUGGAGCGGUGAAAUGCGUAGAUAUCAGAAGGAACGCCGGCGGCGAAAGCGAUUCUCUGGCCUAUUACUGACACUCAGUGUGCGAAAGCUAGGGGAGCAAACGGGAUUAGAUACCCCGGUAGUCCUAGCCGUAAACGAUGGGCACUAAGUAGAGGGGAUUACCGAUGUUCUCUCUGCCGUAGCUAACGCAUUAAGUGCCCCGCCUGGGGAGUACGGCCGCAAGGCUAAAACUCAAAAGAAUUGACGGGGGCUCGCACAAGCGGUGGAGCAUGUGGCUUAAUUCGAUGCAACGCGAAAAACCUUACCGGGGCUUGACAUGGUAGAAGUAGGAACCCGAAAGGGUAACGAACGGUAUCCAGUCCGUAGCUAUCACAGGUGUUGCAUGGCUGUCGUCAGCUCGUGUCGUGAGACGUUGGGUUAAGUCCCCUAACGAGCGAAACCCUUGUUUUUAGUUACCAGCGGGUUAUGCCGGGUACUCUAGAAAGACUGCCGUCGUCAAGACGGAGGAAGGUGGGGAUGACGUCAAGUCAUCAUGGCCCUUAUGCCCCGGGCUGCACACGUGCUACAAUGGUCGGUACAAACGGAAGCGAAGCCGAGAGGUGAAGCGAAUCCUAAAAAGCCGAUCUCAGUUCGGAUUGGAGGCUGAAAUUCGCCUCCAUGAAGUUGGAAUCGCUAGUAAUCGCGGAUCAGCAAUGCCGCGGUGAAUAUGUUCCCGAGCCUUGUACACACCGCCCGU